Molecule: long non-coding RNA, 119 nt
Organism: Acanthaster planci (crown-of-thorns starfish)
Lineage: Eukaryota; Metazoa; Echinodermata; Asteroidea; Valvatida; Acanthasteridae
Source: RefSeq, a predicted model, not a curated record
UGUUUGAGUUCGGGGGCUUGACGUUUGGGGGUUUAGGGUUGCUGCAGGUAUAGUAUUUCUGUUGCUACAGGUAAAGUACUUUGGUUGCUACAGGUAUAGUAUUUUUGUUGCUACAGGUA